RNAcentral lists this ribosomal RNA (121 nucleotides) under Petromyzon marinus (sea lamprey). Lineage: Eukaryota; Metazoa; Chordata; Hyperoartia; Petromyzontiformes; Petromyzontidae. The record is from RNAcentral.
UUCCAUGACCAAAUCACCCAGAAUAUACCAAAUCUCAUCAGAUCUCAGAAGCUAAGCGGGGUUGAGCCUGGACAGUGCCUGUGGAUGGGCGAUCAUCAAACACACCAGGUUGUUUUGGCCU